AGUGAACGCUGGCGGUAGGCCUAACACAUGCAAGUCGAACGGCAGCACAGUAAGAGCUUGCUCUUACGGGUGGCGAGUGGCGGACGGGUGAGGAAUACCUCGGAAUCUACUUUUUCGUGGGGGAUAACGUAGGGAAACUUACGCUAAUACCGCAUACGACCUACGGGUGAAAGCAGGGGAUCUUCGGACCUUGCGCGAUUGAAUGAGCCGAUGUCGGAUUAGCUAGUUGGCGGGGUAAAGGCCCACCAAGGCGACGAUCCGUAGCUGGUCUGAGAGGAUGAUCAGCCACACUGGAACUGAGACACGGCCCAGACUCCUACGGGAGGCAGCAGUGGGGAAUAUUGGACAAUGGGCGCAAGCCUGAUCCAGCCAUACCGCGUGGGUGAAGAAGGCCUUCGGGUUGUAAAGCCCUUUUGUUGGGAAAGAAAAGCAGCAGGUUAAUACCCCGCUGUUCUGACGGUACCCAAAGAAUAAGCACCGGCUAACUUCGUG
This 492-nucleotide ribosomal RNA is filed under the name uncultured bacterium. RNAcentral describes it as "partial 16S ribosomal RNA". It matches the Rfam family "Bacterial small subunit ribosomal RNA", at positions 29 to 507 of the family's 1533-position model. The record is from RNAcentral.